RNAcentral lists this ribosomal RNA (803 nucleotides) under Virgibacillus sp. RNAcentral's name for it is "bacterial SSU rRNA". It matches the Rfam family "Bacterial small subunit ribosomal RNA", at positions 45 to 835 of the family's 1533-position model. The record is from RNAcentral. Lineage: Bacteria; Bacillati; Bacillota; Bacilli; Caryophanales; Bacillaceae.
CGCGGGAAGCAGGCAGAUCCUCUUCGGAGGUGACGCUUGUGGAACGAGCGGCGGACGGGUGAGUAACACGUGGGCAACCUGCCUGUAAGAUUGGGAUAACCCCGGGAAACCGGGGCUAAUACCGGAUAAUACUUUUCGUUGCAUAACGAGAAGUUGAAAGGCGGCUUUUAGCUGUCACUUACAGAUGGGCCCGCGGCGCAUUAGCUAGUUGGUAAGGUAACGGCUUACCAAGGCGACGAUGCGUAGCCGACCUGAGAGGGUGAUCGGCCACACUGGGACUGAGACACGGCCCAGACUCCUACGGGAGGCAGCAGUAGGGAAUCUUCCGCAAUGGACGAAAGUCUGACGGAGCAACGCCGCGUGAGUGAUGAAGGUUUUCGGAUCGUAAAACUCUGUUGUCAGGGAAGAACAAGUGCCGUUCAAAUAGGGCGGCACCUUGACGGUACCUGACCAGAAAGCCCCGGCUAACUACGUGCCAGCAGCCGCGGUAAUACGUAGGGGGCAAGCGUUGUCCGGAAUUAUUGGGCGUAAAGCGCGCGCAGGCGGUCCUUUAAGUCUGAUGUGAAAGCCCACGGCUUAACCGUGGAGGGCCAUUGGAAACUGGAGGACUUGAGUACAGAAGAGGAGAGUGGAAUUCCACGUGUAGCGGUGAAAUGCGUAGAGAUGUGGAGGAACACCAGUGGCGAAGGCGACUCUCUGGUCUGUAACUGACGCUGAGGUGCGAAAGCGUGGGGAGCGAACAGGAUUAGAUACCCUGGUAGUCCACGCCGUAAACGAUGAGUGCUAGGUGUUAGGGGGUUUCC